This 468-nucleotide ribosomal RNA is filed under the name uncultured bacterium. RNAcentral's name for it is "partial 16S ribosomal RNA". It matches the Rfam family "Bacterial small subunit ribosomal RNA", at positions 28 to 507 of the family's 1533-position model. The record is from RNAcentral.
GACGAACGCUGGCGGCGUGCUUAACACAUGCAAGUCGAACGGAAAGGCCCUGCUUUUGUGGGGUGCUCGAGUGGCGAACGGGUGGGUAACACGUGAGUAACCUGCCCUUGACUUUGGGAUAACUUCAGGUAACUGGGGCUAAUACCGGAUAGGCGCUCCUGCUGCAUGGUGGGGGUUGGAAAGUUUCGGAGGUUGGGGAUGGACUCGCGGCUUAUCAGCUUGUUGGUGGGGUAGUGGCUUACCAAGGCUUUGACGGGUAGCCGGCCUGAGAGGGUGACCGGCCACAUUGGGACUGAGAUACGGCCCAGACUCCUACGGGAGGCAGCAGUGGGGAAUAUUGCACAAUGGGCGGAAGCCUGAUGCAGCAACGCCGCGUGCGGGAUGACGGCCUUCGGGUUGUAAACCGCUUUCGCAUGUGACGAAGCGUGAGUGACGGUAAUGGGUAAAGAAGCACCGGCUAACUACGUG